RNAcentral lists this ribosomal RNA (1343 nucleotides) under uncultured bacterium. RNAcentral describes it as "16S ribosomal RNA". It matches the Rfam family "Bacterial small subunit ribosomal RNA", at positions 28 to 1378 of the family's 1533-position model. The record is from RNAcentral.
GGCGAACGCUGGCGGCGUGCUUAACACAUGCAAGUCGAACGGAAAGGCCCUGCUUUUGUGGGGUGCUCGAGUGGCGAACGGGUGAGUAACACGUGAGUAACCUGCCCUUGACUUUGGGAUAACUUCAGGAAACUGGGGCUAAUACCGGAUAGGAGCUCCUGCUGCAUGGUGGGGGUUGGAAAGUUUCGGCGGUUGGGGAUGGACUCGCGGCUUAUCAGCUUGUUGGUGGGGUAGUGGCUUACCAAGGCUUUGACGGGUAGCCGGCCUGAGAGGGUGACCGGCCACAUUGGGACUGAGAUACGGCCCAGACUCCUACGGGAGGCAGCAGUGGGGAAUAUUGCACAAUGGGCGGAAGCCUGAUGCAGCAACGCCGCGUGCGGGAUGACGGCCUUCGGGUUGUAAACCGCUUUCGCCUGUGACGAAGCGUGAGUGACGGUAAUGGGUAAAGAAGCACCGGCUAACUACGUGCCAGCAGCCGCGGUGAUACGUAGGGUGCGAGCGUUGUCCGGAUUUAUUGGGCGUAAAGGGCUCGUAGGUGGUUGAUCGCGUCGGAAGUGUAAUCUUGGGGCUUAACCCUGAGCGUGCUUUCGAUACGGGUUGACUUGAGGAAGGUAGGGGAGAAUGGAAUUCCUGGUGGAGCGGUGGAAUGCGCAGAUAUCAGGAGGAACACCAGUGGCGAAGGCGGUUCUCUGGGCCUUUCCUGACGCUGAGGAGCGAAAGCGUGGGGAGCGAACAGGCUUAGAUACCCUGGUAGUCCACGCUGUAAACGGUGGGUACUAGGUGUGGGGUCCAUUCCACGGGUUCCGUGCCGUAGCUAACGCUUUAAGUACCCCGCCUGGGGAGUACGGCCGCAAGGCUAAAACUCAAAGGAAUUGACGGGGCCCCGCACAAGCGGCGGAGCAUGCGGAUUAAUUCGAUGCAACGCGUAGAACCUUACCUGGGUUUGACAUGGAUCGGGAGCGCUCAGAGAUGGGUGUGCCUCUUUUGGGGUCGGUUCACAGGUGGUGCAUGGCUGUCGUCAGCUCGUGUCGUGAGAUGUUGGGUUAAGUCCCGCAACGAGCGCAACCCUUGUUCACUGUUGCCAGCACGUUAUGGUGGGGACUCAGUGGAGACCGCCGGGGUCAACUCGGAGGAAGGUGGGGAUGACGUCAAGUCAUCAUGCCCCUUAUGUCCAGGGCUUCACGCAUGCUACAAUGGCUGGUACAGAGAGUGGCGAGCCUGUGAGGGUGAGCGAAUCUCGGAAAGCCGGUCUCAGUUCGGAUUGGGGUCUGCAACUCGACCUCAUGAAGUCGGAGUCGCUAGUUAUCGCAGAUCAGCAACGCUGCGGUGAAUACGUUCCUGGG